This 299-nucleotide ribosomal RNA is filed under the name Rhyacodrilus falciformis. RNAcentral describes it as "partial 23S-like ribosomal RNA". It matches the Rfam family "Eukaryotic large subunit ribosomal RNA", at positions 674 to 937 of the family's 3401-position model. Lineage: Eukaryota; Metazoa; Annelida; Clitellata; Tubificida; Naididae. The record is from RNAcentral.
UCUAACAUGUGCGCGAGUCAUUGGGUGUUACGAAACCUAGAGGCGCAGUGAAAGCAAAGGUCGAUCCUCGCGGUCGACUCGGGUAGGAUCCCUCGUCGUUUCGGUGGCGGGGGCGCACUACCGGCCCGUCUCGAACACAGCGUUGUUGAGGCGGAGCAAGAGCGUACACGUUGGGACCCGAAAGAUGGUGAACUAUGCCCGAGUAGGACGAAGCCAGAGGAAACUCUGGUGGAGGUCCGCAGCGAUUCUGACGUGCAAAUCGAUCGUCAAACUUGGGUAUAGGGGCGAAAGACUAAUCG